CCUACGGGAGGCAGCAGUGGGGAAUAUUGGGCAAUGGGCGCAAGCCUGACCCAGCAACGCCGCGUGAAGGAAGAAGGCUUUCGGGUUUUAAACUUCUUUUUUCAGGGACGAAGCAAGUGACGGUACCUGACGAAUAAGCCACGGCUAACUACGUGCCAGCAGCAGCGGGAAUACGUAGGGGGCAAGCGUUAUCCGGAUUUAAUGGGUGUAAAGGGCGAGUAGGCGGGACUGUAAGUUAGAUGUGAAAACCAAGGGCUCAACCUGUGGCCUGCCUUUGAAACUGUAGUUCUUGAGUACUGGAGAGGUAUACGGAAUUCCUGGUGUAGCGGUGAAAUGCGUAGAUAUUAGGAGGAACACCAGUGGCGAAGGCGGUAUACUGGACAGCAACUGACAUUGAUGCUCGAAAGUGUGGGUAUCAAACAGGAUUAGAUACCCGAGUAGUC
RNAcentral lists this ribosomal RNA (443 nucleotides) under uncultured bacterium. RNAcentral's name for it is "partial 16S ribosomal RNA". It matches the Rfam family "Bacterial small subunit ribosomal RNA", at positions 338 to 795 of the family's 1533-position model. The record is from RNAcentral.